AUGAACGCUGGCGGCGUGCCUCAUCCAUUCAAGUCGCGCGCACGGACGAGAAUCUUUCUUCUCUUAUUUUAUCGGCGGACGGUUGAUUAACACUUUGAUAACCUACCUAUAUUUCUGUGUUAACUUCGGGAAACCGGAGCUAAUACCUGAUAAUAUUUUUAACCUCUUGGUUCUAUAGUUAAAUUCGGUCUUUCUUUCACUUAUUUAUUUAUCCUCGCUGCAUUAGCUAGUUGGUUAGGUAACGGCUUACCAAGGCAACGAUGCAUAGCCGACCUGAGAGGGUGAUCGGCCACACUGGAACUGAGACACGGACAAGAAUACUACGGGAGGCAGCAGUAGGGAAUAUUCGGCAAUGGGCGAAAGGAUGACGGAGCAAAGCCGAGUGAGUGAAGAAGGACUACGGAUCGUAAAACACUGUUAUUAGGGAAGAAAAUAUGUGUAAGAAAAAGAGCACAGAAUGACGGUAACAAAAAAGAAAGCAACGGCUAACUACGUG
RNAcentral lists this ribosomal RNA (496 nucleotides) under uncultured bacterium. RNAcentral's name for it is "partial 16S ribosomal RNA". It matches the Rfam family "Bacterial small subunit ribosomal RNA", at positions 29 to 507 of the family's 1533-position model. The record is from RNAcentral.